GCUUAACACAUGCAAGUCGAACGGUAACAUAAAGAAGCUUGCUUCUUUGAUGACGAGUGGCGGACGGGUGAGUAAUGCUUGGGAAUCUAGCUUAUGGAGGGGGAUAACUACGGGAAACUGUAGCUAAUACCGCGUAGUAUCGAGAGAUGAAAGUGUGGGACCUUCGGGCCACAUGCCAUAGGAUGAGCCCAAGUGGGAUUAGGUAGUUGGUGAGGUAAAGGCUCACCAAGCCGACGAUCUCUAGCUGGUCUGAGAGGAUGACCAGCCACACUGGGACUGAGACACGGCCCAGACUCCUACGGGAGGCAGCAGUGGGGAAUGUUGCGCAAUGGGGGCAACCCUGACGCAGCCAUGCCGCGUGAAUGAAGAAGGCCUUCGGGUUGUAAAGUUCUUUCGGUAGCGAGGAAGGCAUUUAGUUUAAUAGACUAGGUGAUUGACGUUAACUACAGAAGAAGCACCGGCUAACUCCGUGCCAGCAGCCGCGGUAAUACGGAGGGUGCGAGCGUUGAUCGGAAUAACUGGGCGUAAAGGGCACGCAGGCGGUGACUU
Molecule: ribosomal RNA, 549 nt
Filed under: uncultured Haemophilus sp.
Lineage: Bacteria; Pseudomonadati; Pseudomonadota; Gammaproteobacteria; Pasteurellales; Pasteurellaceae
Description: bacterial SSU rRNA
Rfam family: Bacterial small subunit ribosomal RNA
Source: RNAcentral